UCAGAAUGAUGAAACUCCACUUAAUUGGUCCGUGUUUUUGAAAGACAUUUGGUCCGUGCUUUUGAAAGACAGGAUAUUAGUGGAAAUUCUGAUUUG
Cricetulus griseus (Chinese hamster) is the source of this 96-nucleotide non-coding RNA. The record is from Rfam. Lineage: Eukaryota; Metazoa; Chordata; Mammalia; Rodentia; Cricetidae.